This is a small nucleolar RNA of Tetrahymena thermophila SB210, 77 nucleotides long. It matches the Rfam family "Tetrahymena snoRNA TtnuCD22". The record is from Rfam. NCBI's taxonomy places the organism in Eukaryota, Ciliophora, Oligohymenophorea, Hymenostomatida, Tetrahymenidae.
AAAUUGAUGACUUUUAAUGAGUACGAAGUAGUUUGGGUCAAACCAAGCUGCUGAUGAACUUAUUUCGCAGCCUGAAA